RNAcentral lists this ribosomal RNA (460 nucleotides) under uncultured bacterium. RNAcentral describes it as "partial 16S ribosomal RNA". It matches the Rfam family "Bacterial small subunit ribosomal RNA", at positions 338 to 795 of the family's 1533-position model. The record is from RNAcentral.
CCUACGGGGGGCAGCAGUGAGGAAUAUUGGUCAAUGGACGAGAGUCUGAACCAGCCAAGUAGCGUGAAGGAUGACUGCUCUAUGGGUUGUAAACUUCUUUUAUAUGGGAAUAAAAUGUUCCACGUGUGGGAUUUUGUAUGUACCAUAUGAAUAAGGAUCGGCUAACUCCGUGCCAGCAGCCGCGGUAAUACGGAGGAUCCGAGCGUUAUCCGGAUUUAUUGGGUUUAAGGGGAGCGUAGGUGGAUUGUUAAGUCAGUUGUGAAAGUUUGCGGCUCAACCGUAAAAUUGCAGUUGAAACUGGCAGUCUUGAGUACAGUAGAGGUGGGCGGAAUUCGUGGUGUAGCGGUGAAAUGCUUAGAUAUCACGAAGAACUCCGAUUGCGAAGGCAGUUCACUGGACUGCAACUGACACUGAGGCUCGAAAGUGUGGGUAUCAAACAGGAUUAGAUACCCGUGUAGUC